Pelobates cultripes (western spadefoot toad) is the source of this 562-nucleotide non-coding RNA. Lineage: Eukaryota; Metazoa; Chordata; Amphibia; Anura; Pelobatidae. The record is from the annotation of a GenBank genome assembly.
GCCUCAGUGUAUGGUCAUAAGGAUGUAACAACAAACAAGCAAGUAGUGAUAUGCAUCUCAUCUCAUAGCAUUGUUUCCCUAAUGCACCAUAGUAGACAAGCCUCAAGCUGAUAAAGAGGAAUUGAUGGAUAGCUCGAAAGUAACUCCUAUUCAAUCUUCAUCUAAACAUUAUUUUAUUUUUAACACCCAACGUUUAUUUGACAUCGGUUCACAGAAAAUCCAAAACUACAAUUGAAGAAUCAGCAAUGUUUGACUCUAAUAUAACUUCUAAUGAAGAAAAUGAAUCAUCACAUUUUGGUAAAAUAUAUCAAUUACAUGACCCUACUUCAGGAGAUUUUUGUGAACGAGAACAUUUUUAGUUUUUGAGACCUGUCAAGGUGAGCUUUUGAAAUCAACUAAAAAUGAUUACAAGGAACAUUACUCAGCACAUAUACUACAGGUGCAGAGCAACAUAGAUGCCUAUUAUGGAGGAAUGAGCCAAUGAUCAAUAAUCGUUCAUUUGGGAAUUUACUGGUUAAUUCAGCAUUACUGUUUAGUGGUUCCCAUUUUGGUAAAGUUUCUG